GUGGGGAAUAUUGGGCAAUGGGGGAAACCCUGACCCAGCGACGCCGCGUGGGUGAAGAAAUCCUUCGGGAUGUAAAGCCCUGUUGUAUGGGAAGAGCGGAAGACGGUACCAUACGAGGAAGCCCCGGCAAACUACGUGCCAGCAGCCGCGGUAAUACGUAGGGGGCAAGCGUUGUCCGGAAUUACUGGGCGUAAAGCGCACGCAGGCUGAAUUAUAAGUCGGUAGUCAAAGGAGGAGGCUCAACCUCUGUAUAUCUAUCGAUACUGUAAAUCUGGAGUAUGUGAGAGGGAAGCGGAAUGCCCGGUGUAGCGGUGAAAUGCGUAGAUAUCGGGAGGAACACCAGUGGCGAAGGCGGCUUCCUGGCACAAUACUGACGCUCAUGUGCGAAAGCUAGGGCAGCGAACGGGAUUAGAUACCCCAGUAGUCC
Molecule: ribosomal RNA, 427 nt
Filed under: uncultured bacterium
Lineage: Bacteria
Description: partial 16S ribosomal RNA
Rfam family: Bacterial small subunit ribosomal RNA
Source: RNAcentral